UUAGUUUAUAUGCUUAUAAAGACAUUUUUUUUCUAUAAAAAAAGUGGCCAUUUCACUGUUUUCUCAGCCUCCUCCAGAAAUCAAUCCAUUCCAUAAACAGCCUCAGGCAUCGAACCAAAUCAGCGAAAACCCUUUUCAGUUUGCGUGGAACAGAGCCAUCAGCAUCACAGCGUUUCACCGUCUUGAAUAAAUGACCAAAGCAACGCCGGAGACCAGACACACUGUGCGCGAGAGUGAUAUACCUGCAGAAUGCCGUCGAGGUGCGGGCCGGCGACGACCUCCCCCGAGAUGACGACGACGAAGGUGCUGCCCCGGUGGCCCCGGAUGUACGGCCACGCCUCCCGGAACCAGCCGACGAAGCGGCCCCCUUCCUCCGCGUCCGCCGCCGCCCCCGCGGGCGAACCCCCACCUCCGCCUCCGCACCGCACGCCCACGGCGGGGCGCCGGCGCCUCCCGGCCCCGGCGCAGGGGAAGCUCGCCGCCGCGAGCCUCCCGGGGCAGCAGGGCCGCGCCGACCCCGGCACCUCGCCGGCGGCGGCGAGGCGCGCGGAGGCUGAGCCUGCGGAGGCGGCGGCGAGGGACGCCGCCAUCGGCGGGAGCCCGGCCGCCGUUUCUGCGGAGGACGGCGCCUAGUGCUAGUACCACCCUCGGGAUCAGAGGGAAGUGGGGGUUAGGUGGCGCGAACGGGGUGGGCGGGCGUACGGUACGCGGCGAGAAGGGAGCGAGAGGAGGAGC
RNAcentral lists this long non-coding RNA (735 nucleotides) under Sorghum bicolor (sorghum). RNAcentral describes it as "long non-coding RNA (SBIC_LNC001470)". Lineage: Eukaryota; Viridiplantae; Streptophyta; Magnoliopsida; Poales; Poaceae. The record is from RNAcentral.